UGCCAGCCGCCGCGGUAAUACGGAGGGGGUUAGCGUUGUUCGGAAUUACUGGGCGUAAAGCGUACGUAGGCGGAUUAGUAAGUUAGAGGUGAAAUCCCAGGGCUCAACCUUGGAACUGCAUUUGAAACUGGAUAACUUGAGUAUGGUAGAGGUAAGCGGAAUUUCCAGUGUAGCAGUGAAAUGCGUAGAGAUUGGAAGGAAUAUCGAUGGCGAAGGCAGCUUACUGGGCCAAUACUGACGCUGUGGUGCGAAAGCGUGGGUAGCGAACGGGAUUAGAUA
This 279-nucleotide ribosomal RNA is filed under the name uncultured bacterium. RNAcentral describes it as "partial 16S ribosomal RNA". It matches the Rfam family "Bacterial small subunit ribosomal RNA", at positions 506 to 784 of the family's 1533-position model. The record is from RNAcentral.